Vicia villosa (hairy vetch) is the source of this 900-nucleotide long non-coding RNA. RefSeq lists it as uncharacterized. NCBI's taxonomy places the organism in Eukaryota, Viridiplantae, Streptophyta, Magnoliopsida, Fabales, Fabaceae. The record is from RefSeq and is a predicted model, not a curated record. The transcript has 4 exons.
UUUAUACAAUACAUGAGUUUGUGUAUAAACUAUUUUGCAAAAUGGAAUAAGAUCAAUCUUUGCUAAAGUCGAAGGUUAUCCGUUUACAAUAUCUAGAAGCAAGUACGGAUCCACUUUAGAGCUAUUGAGGGCAACUGCACCUAGGGGUGGACAACAUGGAACCAACCGAGAAAAACCGUCCGACCCGUAUGAAUAUUUUAGCCUUCGGUCGGGUUUAUUCGGUUCUGCGGUUUGUGCGGGUGAAAACAACGGAUUUAAAGGGGUAAGUGUGGUCGGGUUCGGAUAGAUUUAUUGAACCCGUCGGACCCCGAACCCGACCGAUAGUUUUAUUAUUCUAUUGGUUUGUUACUCAGUUUUAUCCAAAUAACACAGCCCAAUUUUCAGGCCCAGAUCAAUUUGAUAAAACCACUUUGUAACCCUAAUCUCAUUCAUUCAUUCAUUCUUACGGAAAUCAAUCCGCCGCCGCUCUCCCUCAUUCCUUCAUCUUCUUUGUUGCUACCAUGAACAACAAUGAACAAUCACUCCGUUCCUCUCUUUGUUUAUUAUCACGUCUCUUCCCUUCAAAAUACAAGGUUCAUUUUGAAAUCUGACCCAACCCCAAUCGAUCUGUAAACAAUAUCGUCUCAAUACUUGAAGAAAGACGACUUACUAGUGUUUGUUUGAAAGCCACCCCUGUCAUCUUCUUCCUCUUAAGGAGUAUCAAUGGAGUUUCAAAGGCAAUUGGAGAAAAAAGUGUUUGAGAUGGAUCUUGUUGUGUAUGGAUAAUUAUAGCAUAAUAAAGGAGGAAAUUGCUUUGUCUUGUGUCUGCUUCAAGGCUUCAAGUCUAUUUAUCAACAUAGAAAUUGAAGGAAAAAAAUUGAAAAGAUUAUAAUCAAGAAAUAGAAGACAAAUUUGCCUCAA